UACAGAGGUGGCAAGCGUUGUUCGGAAUUACUGGGCGUGAAGGGCGCGUAGGCGGUCUUGUAAGUCUUGUGUGAAAUCCCUCGGCUUAACUGAGGAACUGCACGGGAUACUGCGAGACUUGAGUUCGGGAGAGGGAAGCGGAAUUCCGGGUGUAGCGGUGAAAUGCGUAGAUAUCCGGAGGAACACCGGUGGCGAAGGCGGCUUCCUGGACCGAUUACUGACGCUGAGGCGCGAAAGCUAGGGGAGCAAACGGG
This 254-nucleotide ribosomal RNA is filed under the name uncultured bacterium. RNAcentral's name for it is "partial 16S ribosomal RNA". It matches the Rfam family "Bacterial small subunit ribosomal RNA", at positions 524 to 776 of the family's 1533-position model. The record is from RNAcentral.